Molecule: long non-coding RNA, 388 nt
Organism: Aplysia californica (California sea hare)
Lineage: Eukaryota; Metazoa; Mollusca; Gastropoda; Aplysiida; Aplysiidae
Exons: 2
Source: RefSeq, a predicted model, not a curated record
CCUCCUUGUUCUCGGCCUGGUCUCUGUCCAAGGCUUUGGCUAUUACCCAGGUGGCGCUUCUUACGGUCUCGUUGGAGGCUUCGCCCCCGGCUACUUCGGUGGACAUGGUGGAUUUUUCGGUGGAAAGUACGGUGGACUCGGUGGACUCGGUGGAUACGGAGGUGGAUUCUUUGGUGGACUGAAAGGAUUUGGAGGUUACGGUCUGGGAGGUUACGGAGGUGUCGGAGUCGGAGGUCUUUAUGGAGGAUUUGGCCGCGGCUACGGGGGAUACCUCUCCUACUAGGAGACAGGCUUUCAUUUCAGAAGGGAAACAAGCAAGUAACUCCGCUGACUAGCCAAGAGUAUUUCCGCUUGUUUCAGCUCUGAAUAAAGCCAACAGAAAACGUUA